Molecule: ribosomal RNA, 397 nt
Filed under: uncultured bacterium
Lineage: Bacteria
Description: partial 16S ribosomal RNA
Rfam family: Bacterial small subunit ribosomal RNA
Source: RNAcentral
AUACGUAGGUGGCAAGCGUUGUCCGGAUUUAUUGGGCGUAAAGCGAGCGCAGGCGGUUCUUUAAGUCUGAUGUGAAAGCCCCCGGCUCAACCGGGGAGGGUCAUUGGAAACUGGAGAACUUGAGUGCAGAAGAGGAGAGUGGAAUUCCAUGUGUAGCGGUGAAAUGCGUAGAUAUAUGGAGGAACACCAGUGGCGAAGGCGGCUCUCUGGUCUGUAACUGACGCUGAGGCUCGAAAGCGUGGGGAGCAAACAGGAUUAGAUUCCCUGGUAGUCCACGCCGUAAACGAUGAGUGCUAAGUGUUGGAGGGUUUCCGCCCUUCAGUGCUGCAGCUAACGCAUUAAGCACUCCGCCUGGGGAGUACGGCCGCAAGGCUGAAACUCAAAUGAAUUGACGGGG